CUGGGUUUGACAUCCCGCGAAUCCCUAUGAAAUUAGGGAGUGCCCUUCGGGGAACGCGGAGACAGGUGCUGCAUGGCUGUCGUCAGCUCGUGCCGUGAGGUGUUGGGUUAAGUCCCGCAACGAGCGCAACCCUUGUUGCCAGUUGCUACCAGGUAAUGCUGGGCACUCUGGCGAGACUGCCCGGGUCAACCGGGAGGAAGGUGGGGACGACGUCAAGUCAUCAUGGCCCUUACAUCCAGGGCUACACACGUACUACAAUGGCAGGUACAAAGGGUUGCCAAGCCGCGAGGCCGCGCUAAUCCCAGAAAGCCUGUCUCAGUCCGGAUUGCAGUCUGCAACUCGACUGCAUGAAGCUGGAAUCGCUAGUAAUCCCGGAUCAGCAUGCCGGGGUGAAUACGUUCCC
This 403-nucleotide ribosomal RNA is filed under the name uncultured Desulfovibrio sp. Its description in RNAcentral is "bacterial SSU rRNA". It matches the Rfam family "Bacterial small subunit ribosomal RNA", at positions 975 to 1375 of the family's 1533-position model. The record is from RNAcentral. Lineage: Bacteria; Pseudomonadati; Thermodesulfobacteriota; Desulfovibrionia; Desulfovibrionales; Desulfovibrionaceae.